Molecule: long non-coding RNA, 1065 nt
Filed under: Anser cygnoides (Swan goose)
Lineage: Eukaryota; Metazoa; Chordata; Aves; Anseriformes; Anatidae
Description: lncRNA (ENSACDG00005016151.1)
Source: RNAcentral
AUGCGCCACCGCGGGUACCCGGUCACUUCCAGGCAGAGAGGAGCCGGUGCCUGUGCAUGUGCUGUGCUGCUCCAAGAGGGGAAGGUGAGAGGAGCCUGUGGGACAGCAAGCGAUCCCAGGCAGGAGGAACAAAGCCUGCAUCGUCUUCAGCAGUUUGGCCUCCUUGUUCGCCACUGGGAAACCACCAUGGGAAGGCUGAGCAAGUCCCUGAGGAACGAGAAGAUGCAAGCAUGUGUCAAACAGGCGGAUAAGACCCUUUUGGACUCGCCACUCCCUGGAAGGGCUCUGACCCACCUGCUUCCCCAGCCAGAGGAGCUAGCCCCUUCCCCUGGGUGUUCGUACCCCCUGCCCCAGCUCCCCUGGGUCUCCACGCCUGCCGGGGGGCCAGGAGGCAGCGUGCUAGCUCCUGCUCGUGGCAGCAAGGUCUGUCACCAGUCUGGCAGGGCUGCAGCACGCCUGGGCGCAGUGAUCCCGGUGACUGCCCUGAGCACAGCGCCUGUGGGUGUGCAGGCACCCCCCUCUGCUGCCCAAAUUCAGCCUGCUUCUGACCCAUGCCACGUCCUGCGAGCACAAGGCUGCGGCAGCCUUUUCGCACCACAACACCCAAGAGGUCUCUCGGCCUUUCUCGUCUUGUUCCUUCCUCUUCCGCGGGCUUAUGCAAUUUUUCUGAGUUCAGAGGUAUAUGGGACUGAGACUCACACAGCACUUUAUUCAGAGCAGUUGUGUCCUGCCCAUCUCCCCUGUGUCUGCCCAAAACACCCCUCCCAAAACACACACACACACACACACAUCGGCGCUUUGAGUCCAGAACGGUGCCCGCACCUUCUCCUCGGCCAAACUCUCCCACAAACCACGUGGCCCCCUGAUUGUACAGGGUGCUCUGAAAGGGGACUCCUGCUUUCUGCUCCAGCACUCAAAGCCAGACUUCCUGUACAGCAUCUCUCUUUGAAGGGUGGAGGGGAAAACAGGUCGUGGGGGCAACGCUUCCCUGCCCAGAGGGCCAUCCUGGAGCAAGCAUGGCUCUUGAAGCACAAUGUUUUAUUUGCAUUUCUUAGUUUCGAAUAA